CAGCAGCCGCCGCGGUAACACAGAGGGUGCGAGCGUUAAUCGGAUUUACUGGGCGUAAAGCGUGCGUAGGCGGCUUUUUAAGUCGGAUGUGAAAUCCCUGAGCUUAACUUAGGAAUUGCAUUCGAUACUGGGAAGCUAGAGUAUGGGAGAGGAUGGUAGAAUUCCAGGUGUAGCGGUGAAAUGCGUAGAGAUCUGGAGGAAUACCGAUGGCGAAGGCAGCCAUCUGGCCUAAUACUGACGCUGAGGUACGAAAGCAUGGGGAGCAAACAGGAUUAGAUACCCCCGUAGUCCCUGUCUCUUAUAC
Molecule: ribosomal RNA, 304 nt
Filed under: uncultured bacterium
Lineage: Bacteria
Description: partial 16S ribosomal RNA
Rfam family: Bacterial small subunit ribosomal RNA
Source: RNAcentral